UACGGAAGGUGCGAGCGUUAUCCGGAUUCACUGGGUUUAAAGGGUGCGUAGGUGGGCAGGUAAGUCAGUGGUGAAAUCUCCGGGCUUAACCCGGAAACUGCCAUUGAUACUAUCAGUCUUGAAUACCGUGGAGGUAAGCGGAAUAUGUCACGUAGCGGUGAAAUGCUUAGAUAUGACAUAGAACACCAAUUGCGAAGGCAGCUUACUACCCGAAUAUUGACACUGAGGCACGAAAGCGUGGGGAUCAAACAGG
Molecule: ribosomal RNA, 253 nt
Filed under: uncultured bacterium
Lineage: Bacteria
Description: partial 16S ribosomal RNA
Rfam family: Bacterial small subunit ribosomal RNA
Source: RNAcentral